This 253-nucleotide ribosomal RNA is filed under the name uncultured bacterium. Its description in RNAcentral is "partial 16S ribosomal RNA". It matches the Rfam family "Bacterial small subunit ribosomal RNA", at positions 524 to 776 of the family's 1533-position model. The record is from RNAcentral.
UACGUAGGGUCCGAGCGUUGUCCGGAAUUAUUGGGCGUAAAGAGCUCGUAGGCGGUUUGUCGCGUCUGCUGUGAAAACUGGAGGCUCAACCUCCAGCCUGCAGUGGGUACGGGCAAACUAGAGUGCGGUAGGGGAGAUUGGAAUUCCUGGUGUAGCGGUGAAAUGCGCAGAUAUCAGGAGGAACACCGAUGGCGAAGGCAGGUCUCUGGGCAUUAACUGACGCUGAGGAGCGAAAGCGUGGGGAGCGAACAGG